GAAAAUAUGGCUCAGUGGUAGAGCACUUGCCUAGCAAGCAUGCAUGAGGCCCUGGGUUUGAUCCCCAGUAAUGUAA
Molecule: transfer RNA, 76 nt
Filed under: Marmota marmota marmota (Alpine marmot)
Lineage: Eukaryota; Metazoa; Chordata; Mammalia; Rodentia; Sciuridae
Also listed under: 1 other name
Rfam family: tRNA
About the family: Transfer RNA (tRNA) molecules are approximately 80 nucleotides in length. Their secondary structure includes four short double-helical elements and three loops (D, anti-codon, and T loops).
Source: Rfam by way of RNAcentral